RNAcentral lists this ribosomal RNA (325 nucleotides) under uncultured eukaryote. RNAcentral describes it as "partial 18S ribosomal RNA". It matches the Rfam family "Eukaryotic small subunit ribosomal RNA", at positions 1470 to 1796 of the family's 1831-position model. The record is from RNAcentral.
CCCUUAGAUGUUCUGGGCCGCACGCGCGCUACAAUGAUGAAUUCAACGAGUUUAUAACCUUGGUUGAAAAGCCUGGGUAAUCUUUUGAACUUUCGUCGUGAUGGGGCUAGACCCUUGCAAUUAUUGGUCUCCAACGAGGAAUUCCUAGUAAACGCAAGUCAUCAGCUUGCAUUGAUUACGUCCCUGCCCUUUGUACACACCGCCCGUCGCACCUACCGAUUGAAUGGUCCGGUGAAUUAUUCGGACUGUAACGCGCUCAGCUUCUGGGUGCAGUUAUGGGAAGUUUUGUGAACCUUACCACUUAGAGGAAGGAGAAGUCGUAACA